RNAcentral lists this long non-coding RNA (272 nucleotides) under Mytilus galloprovincialis (Mediterranean mussel). The record is from RNAcentral. Lineage: Eukaryota; Metazoa; Mollusca; Bivalvia; Mytilida; Mytilidae.
CUUCUAUGUUAUCAUUACACAUAAAACACACUCUUUCGUCUACAUUUUUAUUUUCAUACCGCCCUGUUUCAAUUCUCAACGGAGCUACUCCGCAUCUAAAUUUAGCAAAAGCACUUCUAUAUCUAUAAGAUAAUGUUUUAGAUAAAUAUAAUUCACUACCAUAACUGUCUUUAAACAAUUUAUAAGUCCGCAAUUUUUUACCAACAUCUUGUGUUAAUAUUCUAUUUUGCCAAUUUUCUAUAUACUUAUCAAGUAAAAAUUCUUCUAUCUGC